AGUGAACGCUGGCGGUAGGCCUAACACAUGCAAGUCGAACGGCAGCACAGUAAGAGCUUGCUCUUACGGGUGGCGAGUGGCGGACGGGUGAGGAAUACAUCGGAAUCUACUUUUUCGUGGGGGAUAACGUAGGGAAACUUACGCUAAUACCGCAUACGACCUACGGGUGAAAGCAGGGGAUCUUCGGACCUUGCGCGAUUGAAUGAGCCGAUGUCGGAUUAGCUAGUUGGCGGGGUAAAGGCCCACCAAGGCGACGAUCCGUAGCUGGUCUGAGAGGAUGAUCAGCCACACUGGAACUGAGACACGGUCCAGACUCCGAGGGGAGGCAGCAGUGGGGAAGAGUGGACAAUGGGCGCAAGCCUGAUCCAGCCAUACCGCGUGGGUGAAGAAGGCCUUCGGGUUGUAAAGCCCUUUUGUUGGGAAAGAAAAGCAGCAGGUUAAUACCCCGCUGUUCUGACGGUACCCAAAGAAUAAGCACCGGCUAACUUCGUG
RNAcentral lists this ribosomal RNA (492 nucleotides) under uncultured bacterium. RNAcentral's name for it is "partial 16S ribosomal RNA". It matches the Rfam family "Bacterial small subunit ribosomal RNA", at positions 29 to 507 of the family's 1533-position model. The record is from RNAcentral.